UACGUAGGGUGCAAGCGUUAAUCGGAAUUAUUGGGCGUAAAGCGCGCGUAGGCGGCUACUUAAGUCGGAUGUGAAAGCCCCUGGCUCAACUGGGGAAGUGCACCCGAAACUGAGUGGCUUGAGUACUAAAGAGGGUCGCGGAAUUCCCGGUGUAGAGGUGAAAUUCGUAGAUAUCGGGAGGAACACCGGUGGCGAAGGCGGCGACCUGGGUAGAUACUGACGCUGAGGCGCGAAAGCGUGGGGAGCAAACAGG
Molecule: ribosomal RNA, 253 nt
Filed under: uncultured bacterium
Lineage: Bacteria
Description: partial 16S ribosomal RNA
Rfam family: Bacterial small subunit ribosomal RNA
Source: RNAcentral